Molecule: unclassified non-coding RNA, 272 nt
Filed under: plant metagenome
Description: partial contains small subunit ribosomal RNA, internal transcribed spacer 1, and 5.8S ribosomal RNA
Source: RNAcentral
UUUCCGUAGGUGAACCUGCGGAAGGAUCAUUAAUGAGUUGUCAUGGGGUUCGAUGCUGGCAGCCAGUUUUUGGAUGCAUGUGCUUGCCCUAACAUUCAUCUUCUUCCAAACACCUGUGCACAUUUUUGAGGGAGUCUUGAGUUGGUUGCCGCUCUUGGGUGAUUUUCUCACAUUCCUUUAAAUCAUUAUACGCUAGUAACAAUGUUGAACGUGCUCUGUGCCGCAAGGCCAUUAAUAUAAUACAACUUUUAACAACGGAUCUCUUGGCUCUC